GGGUAACCUGCCCUAUCGUUUUGAAUAACCUCGGGAAACUGAGAACAAUACAUCAUAGUCCACUACGCCUGGAACGGUGAGUGGAUGAAGGUAGGAUGGGCCUGCGGCGUAUCAGGUUGUAGGGGGUGUAAUGGACCUCCUAGCCAUCGACGCGUACGGGUGUUGGGAGACAUAGCCCGGAGAUGGAUUCUGAGACACGAAUCCAGGCCCUACGGGGCGCGGCAGUUACGAAAACUUGGCAAUGCGGGAAACCGUGACCAGGGAACUCCAAGUGAGUCUCUUUUAGGGGCUCUUUUCUUGACUCUAAAACGGUCUUGGAAUAAGGGGUGGGUAAGGACGGUGCCAGCCGCCGCGGUAAUACCGGCGCCUCAAGUGGUCGUCGCUUUUAUUGGGCCUAAAACGUCCGUAGCCGGUUUGGUACAUUCGUGGGUAAAUCAGCUCGCUCAACGAGUUGAAUUCUGCGAGGACGGCCAGACUAGGGACCGGGAGAGGUGUGGGGAACUCUCAGGGUAGGGGUACAAUCCUGUCAUCCUGAGAGGACCACCUGUUGCGAAGGCGCCACACUAGAACGGAUCCGACGGUCAGGGACGAAGCCUAGGGGCACGAACCGGAUUAGAUACCCGGGUAGUCCUAGGUGUAAACGCUGUGGACUUGGUGUUGGGGAAGCCCAGAGCUUUCCCAGUGCCGUAGCGAAGGUGUUGAGUCCACUGCCUGGGGAGUACGGUCGCAAGGCUGAAACUU
Molecule: ribosomal RNA, 741 nt
Filed under: uncultured Candidatus Poseidoniales archaeon
Lineage: Archaea; Methanobacteriati; Thermoplasmatota; Candidatus Poseidoniia; Candidatus Poseidoniales
Description: bacterial SSU rRNA
Rfam family: Archaeal small subunit ribosomal RNA
Source: RNAcentral